Brienomyrus brachyistius is the source of this 2810-nucleotide RNA transcript. It is a transcript of the gene named LAT2 domain-containing protein, with no coding region annotated. The record is from RefSeq and is a predicted model, not a curated record. NCBI's taxonomy places the organism in Eukaryota, Metazoa, Chordata, Actinopteri, Osteoglossiformes, Mormyridae. The transcript is spliced from 12 exons.
UGCGGAUGUGGUAACAGGCUCAGAGUGAAACAGGAAGCUGUGAGGCUCAGCCUACAUCAUUUGCCUUCGAUCUGUUAAGCAAGGUGCUGCUAUAGACACCCCUGGGGAGAGUCUGUGGAAACUGCACUGAAGCAUGAAGACAGACGCUAGCUUGGGAGACGCUGUUUUGGCCAUCGCGUUGUUCACAUCAAUAGGAGCGAUACUUGUCGGCUGUCUCAGCUGCCGAAAGAAAGACAAAAUUGUACAGACAAAAAACUCCUUUUAUGAACAUCAGCAUUUGAAAGCCUAGAUGUCAGUGAGUACACUGUCCUACAGCGUCAAAAGACACUUGGAAAAUGUCCUACAGGAAGAGGCUGGCGACUUGCACUACAUAACUGGCACCCUAACCAAAAGAGCCACAGUGGGGGUCGGAGGAUAACGGUUACACGAUCCAAAAGAGUGACGCACUUUAACAAGCUUUGCGAGACUUCGCACGCAGAGUAAGUGUGCGCCUGAAUGUACAACCUUUGAGGAUAGAUUCUAAUGUGAAUGACCAUCCAUCUGUCGGUAAGUCAAUGGAGAUUCUGUGGAAUAGGGCCCCGUUGGUGGCUAUCAUGGUAAGCAUUGGUUCAAACCAUGGGUUCUGUAGUAUUUCUCUGUAUAGGAGUAAGAACAAGGGAACCAACUGGUGCCCUGAACUCGGGGAAACUCCUUCAGGAUUGUCGGAGAAGCAUUUCAGGUGGCUACAUCAGGAAGCUGGUUAAAAUAAUACCAAGAAUCUGCAAUGCUGUCGUUUCAAUGCUUCUCUUAGUUGUUGCUAUAUUUACUUCAUUGUCUCUAGGCCUGUAAGAUGAAUAUCAUUACUAAAACAGAGACAAAUGCAUUUAAAGCAGGUGUGUCCAGACUUUUCACUGGCACUGUAGUUACAUGUAAUAUACAUAAUUGAUAAUAUAAAUGAUGUAUUAUUGAUAUUUCCAAUAAUACAUUUUUUUCAAAGGUACUGCUGAAAACCAGCCCAACUAUCAAAAUAUCUUAAUUGAAAAUGGUAUCUCUGAACCCGCAUAUGUGCACCCCAUCGGAGAAGGGCAAUUAGACGACACAGCAGUGUACCAGAAUACUUCGGAAACAGACCAAGAUAUCCCAGAUUAUGAAAAUGUAUUUACAGACACCACAGCAUGCCAACAAUCAGAAUACGCAAAUUGUGACUUCAUAGAGGAUGAUGACGAUGAAGGUGAUUACGUGAACGGUUAAAGAUCGGAGCAAGGAAACACCAUCAGAAGAACUCUGCAAAGAUUCAACAGACUCUGAAACGUUUCUUGAAUGUGCUGCACAGUCCUCUUGGGAAAUAAUUGCCUGAUGCUGAACAUGUGGCCCGCUAGGAAACCCCCCUCCCCCCAUAGAUCUGGUUAUUCACUACGAAGCUGGAGCAUUAGCUGCGCAUUACGUACCCUGCUCUGACCACUAGGUAGUGCUGCUACUUUCCACUGAAUGUCACACGUGAAGUAAUUCAUGUUGUGUUGUGCGUGUGAUUCAGAUUUAAGGCGAUUUUAGAAGGUCAGUGGUUCCACAAGUUGAAUGAGUGCCGGAGGCAGUUUGUACAGCCAUUAAUAUACACAGCUUUAAACAUUAUUACAUAUUUUUGAAAUACAGAAUAUUUAUGCAUAUUUCUUGCAGUUUCUCAAUUAUAAAACGUGCCAAACAAUCCUGUAAGCUGGCAAUGGAAAAACUUGAGCCGUGUAUAAUCCUCGCAUCACGUACGGAUUUUUAUUACGAAACUACUAUCACAAACAAACAUAAGCAUAGAAUAAAUGACCAUACAAUCAGGAAGUAUGGCCUGGGUUACUUUCAAUUUUAAGUGACCGAUUUGCGUUGCCUCUGCAUUUCCGUCCAUUUAUCACGGUCCCGUUGAUCCGGCGAUGACGACGUUCCCCCACUGUAGUGCCAGCUCGGUGUUGGGUGACAGUAAGUGCACUUGAGUGGAGUAGGACAGCGGCAGCCAAGGAGAUUAGGGUCUAACUGGCAUUGGGUGACGCUGUCUUGGCGCAGAGUCGACCCAGGAGCCCUGCCAUCUGUAGCAAGGAGUUGACACCUUCUGCUACUUUCAUAUGAGUAUAGCCGAUCUCCUAAAGACAGAGGAACAUUCCGGCAGUUAAAGUCUGGCUACUGCAGUGCGAUGCUCUGGCCUGUCAUCCUUCUAUAGUCGUUAAUAUAAAAAUCUAAUUUUCAGAACGAAACGAAUCUGGCAAGAUGUCAUUCUGGUGGACCAAUUGAUCUGAACUUGAUGGCCUGGCAUCGGUUUACCUUGAUGAACUCCAGCUUCAGAUACUCUGGCAUCUGGAAUGUCUUACAUACUCUGAAGAUGUUCCCAAUUAUAUCUUCGGGCGAGUAGCCAAGUGACCAGAGUUGCUCGAUGAUCUAAAAAGGGACACACAAAAAAAAAAUAAAAAAUGAAAGGGUGAGCCAAGUCGCUUCAGAUUUGGCGGGAGCCGUCGUCUUCAGCAUGAUACCUUGUAGGCUUCAUCGAUGUCAGCGUUCACACAGUGUUCCAGCAUGCUUUUCACAAGCAGAGGGUGGGGCUCGUCACAGACCUGGCGAGGACCAAACUCACAGAAUGAGACUCUCUCUGUCACUGGUAUGAAAUCCCAGUGGAAUCGUGCCCAGCGAGCAAUACCUUGAACACAUUCUCACUGCUGACAAAGCUAAAUCCAGAAUGCGUUGACUGCAAAUUAUUUAGCGCCUGUGAAAGACACAUACAUUGUUUAAUUAUAUUAUAACUUCAAGAUUAUUGGAUACAAUGAGUUUUUCUUUUUAAUAAACAUUUGUGAACCUGU